Molecule: long non-coding RNA, 1460 nt
Organism: Drosophila sulfurigaster albostrigata
Lineage: Eukaryota; Metazoa; Arthropoda; Insecta; Diptera; Drosophilidae
Exons: 3
Source: RefSeq, a predicted model, not a curated record
CACACCUAUAAACAUUAACUUGUCAAUAAAGGUAAUUCAUUAUGUCGCUCCGGCAAUGCUCCGGGGAAUGCUUUCGUGGCUGAAACAAAUUGUCGACUGGAUACCAGAUUGUAUUCUCUAAAAACUAACGCCGAAUCAACCUAAUUCCACAAGAGUAAAGUGAAAUACUCAACAUUUGCACUUGGGCAACUCUGACGUAUACUUAUUAUUAUUAUAUACACAUUAGUGGCUCAAGAGAAUGUUCAAUAAUUCAAGGAAACACACUUGCCUUGAACUGAAUAUAAAGAGCUGUGUUGACUCACUGCAGAACUCAUGCGACAGCCCAGAGUCCACAAGCCGCCUGCCACAUGCCACACGCCGCAUGCAUAUGCAACUCAGUUACGAGUUACGAUUUCGCAAACAAACUAAAAGACUGAAGGACAAUGGACAAAAGUAGGCAGAACGAUGAGCAUGUGAAUCCCGUUUGCAUAACGAGUGACGCUCGAGUGGGCAGCACUUAAGGACUUGAGCAUGGACAUGGAUUUCGGUGACGGGAGUUGAGAGUCGAGAGACGGGUCAUGUGUCUGUGUGGGGAUGACGGAACCAUUACUUAAUUAUCAUAACAGCCAGGGCCAGGAUCGCGCUGUUUUUGGCCAAAAGGGUUAAGAGAGCAUUGCCCAUAAAAAUUGCGCCACACCUAGCAAAGUGAGUGUAUCUAUGUUGUGGUGUGGAGUGGGCAAACACACGCCGCUAAUAAAAUAAUAAAUAUCCUGACUGCCAAAGCCUGGUCAGAAGCACAGCUCGAACAGUGAAGGGGUUAGCCGUGGAAGGAAGUGGGGCGGAGACCGCCCGUCGACACGCGUUGCCCCCGAAAAUGCAAAACAAUUUCAUCAGCGUAAUAUAUAGAGAGAGAGAGAGAGAGAGAGAGAGGCGAAGGCGAAAGGGGGUUGACAUAAUGCUUGCAAAGAGUUCUAUAAAUUGCCAUAUUUUAUGCUUCAGUUGCCGAUGCCAUUUCUGCUUCGUUUCGUUUCGUUUGCUUUCCAUCUUUUUGUCAAUUGAAACGCAAUUUUCAUAAAACACACGUGCGCCAAGCGAUGUGCUGUGGUCUACACGUAUCCGUCAGAUACAUUUUGUAUCUCACGUCUGGGCUUUUGUCAACGCUCUGCGACUAUUUUCAAAUGCUCCUACUCCACGAAAAUAUUGCUCGCUCCGACUGUCGCAAUGUGGCUGCUGUGGCUGCUGUUUUAGCCAUUCCGGCAUUGGCCCCAGCGGAGCCGUUGCCAAUGUUGGCCAAAGCACGUACUGCCAAACUCUAAUGACAGGCAAAUAAAUUUCAAAGAAUAUAUAUUUCGAAAAAUUGAUCUGACGUGUCACGCGACCACAGCAACUACAUAGCCGUCUACUCUUGUUUCUGUCUCUUGCUUUGGUCACCUCUAUUGAACAUUCGAGAAGAUACGAAAUGCGAGAUGCAAAAUACUCAA